This 749-nucleotide long non-coding RNA is filed under the name Heterocephalus glaber (naked mole-rat). RNAcentral describes it as "lncRNA (ENSHGLG00000037488.1)". The record is from RNAcentral. Lineage: Eukaryota; Metazoa; Chordata; Mammalia; Rodentia; Bathyergidae.
GUAGGGUUUUUAUCAUGAAUGGGUGCUGGAUUUUGUCAAAUGCUUUUUCUGCCUCUAUUGAGAUGAUCAUAUGGUUUAUUUCUCUUAAUGUGGUGUAUUACAUUUUUUGAUUUACGAAUGUUGAACCAUCCUUGCAUCCCUGGGAUAAAUCUGACUUGGUUAGGGUGUAUGAUCUUCUUGAUGACUCUCUGUAUUCUGUUUGCCAGUAUUUUGUUGAGGAUUUUUGCAUCUAUGUUCAUUAGGGAGAUUGGCCUAUAGUUCUCUUUUUGGGUUGGGUCUUUCCCUGGUUUUGGAAUCAAAGUAACACUUGCUUCCAGGAAUGAAUUUGGAAGCCUUGCUUCCCUUUCAGUUUCCUUGAUGAGUUUAAAGAGUAAUGGUGUUAGAUCUUCUUUAAAUGUCUUGUAAAUUUCAGCAGUGAAGCCAUCCGGACCUGGGCUUUCCUUUGUUGGGCAGAGGCAUUUAUUGCUAAGUGUACGCUGCUGGCAAAGCAGCCACCUCAGGUGUGCCAAGCAUCUACGCCCCCAGCACCUAAGCCUACCUCUCCCCUGCCAAGACCCCACCCCCACUGCCAAUCAUGAUUCCCAUGGGCCCCAUCUACAAUGGCUACCCUGGAGGGUACCCUGGAGACUUCGAUAGGAACAGCUCAGGUGAGGCCUGGGGAGAGCCUGGGUGGAUAGGGGGUGGGCUGGGUCAGAAAAGUAGAUCGGGGGGAGGGGGCUGGGCAGCCACUGACAGCCAGUCUCCCCUAG